Molecule: long non-coding RNA, 1377 nt
Organism: Sarcophilus harrisii (Tasmanian devil)
Lineage: Eukaryota; Metazoa; Chordata; Mammalia; Dasyuromorphia; Dasyuridae
Exons: 3
Source: RefSeq, a predicted model, not a curated record
GUGCCCUAUGCACUGCAACACCUAGCUGCUCCUUCCCUUUGUAUUUUAAUAAGCUCUUUUAUAAUUUUAUUUUCUCUUGAUGUUAAUUAGUUUACCUGUGGGCCAAUUGUUAAUAUAGGAUAGUGACAUAUAUGUGGGGAAUUUUUCAGUGAAAAAGAAAUCAAUAAACAUUAACUUUAAAUUUAAUAGUAUAAAAGAUAUGGUAAGAUAUUUAUAUCUCUCCAGGUUUAUGCUCAGAGAAAUCUAAACCCUAAAUGAUCUCAGAAUGGAUGAUCUACAGUGACUGAGACCAUAUAGGAGCAGGAAGUCAAUUCAGAGUGAAGGUUCCCUCAGAAACCGCAGCUCGGCCACAAAUCGUAUUUGUCAACUGGAAAGGAAACGAUACAACUGAAUUCAUUCUCAACCUUCUAGUUCCUUUAAGAUGUGGUUAAAAACAAAAGUAACAGCAAUGACCUUAUAACCAAAGAGACUGCCCCAGAUGUGUGCAGAAUGGACAUUACAGACAAAUACUGAAUUUUAAAGAGGACAUGUGACAUCAAGAAAAGAGUAAGAGCCAAAAGAUUUGGAGAAGAAGUAGCUACAGCAAAACUGACUUAUGAAAUGAGAAUGGUAAACAAAUGAGCCUCAACUCAGUAUGAAAACUUGAUGAAUUACCAAUACUAUACUUAUGACAGGCAACUAUUCUACUUUACUGACACAAUUUAAUAAAUAAAAUUACAGUGAAUAGGAGAUUAAUGUAAGUUGAAACCAACUUGUAUUGUGCUAUACUUGUGGAUUUUAAAAUUGCCUUUUAAAAAAAUUUUCCAUAAAUAAAUAUAAUUAUAUAUAGAAACAACUAACUAAAUGUUUUAGCUACUAGCUAAAGUCACAACAGUUUGUAAGGAUUCAGAAUAAGAAAGAUACAUAAGGAACAUAAUUUAUUGUCAUCAUUAACAUUAUAUAAAAUUAAAUCUGUUGCUCCAUUGGUGGACCUCAGGAUCCAUUGCUCUACCAAUGUACUUGCCAAAGAGAACUGGGAGGUUAAAUGAUUUCACAAGGGUCACACAGCUAGUAUAUAUUUAAGAUCACAAAUUAAGCCAAGGAAACAAAAUCCUAAGGCCAGCUCUCUAUCCAUUAGGCCUUACUGUCUCCAUUUAAUAACUUAUCAAUGUUAUUAUGGUAAAGCUUAUAUUGCAUGUAGAUUUUUAUCUUAUCACAAUGCAAAUGGUUAGGAUCCUCACUGUCCCCCAUUUUGCUUGAUUUUUUUUAAAAUUAGUACUUCUGAGAGUUUUAGGUUUUAUGAUAAAAGUUACUAUUAAAAUUCUUUCCCUUAUUUCUACAAAAUACAUGUCUUCACAUUACCAUAGUCUAUAACAUACAUGGCUGUUAACUCAAGUU